AGAAGAAUCACCUGGGGGUACUCGUUAAAAAUGCAGAUUCUGAUUCUGAAGAUCAAAGGAGGAACCUGAGAAUCUUCUGAAUCUCUAACAAGCUCCCAUGUGAUAUUGAU
RNAcentral lists this microRNA precursor (110 nucleotides) under Marmota monax (woodchuck). The record is from RNAcentral. Lineage: Eukaryota; Metazoa; Chordata; Mammalia; Rodentia; Sciuridae.